Molecule: ribosomal RNA, 189 nt
Filed under: Triticum aestivum (bread wheat)
Lineage: Eukaryota; Viridiplantae; Streptophyta; Magnoliopsida; Poales; Poaceae
Source: RNAcentral
AUGGUUGAUCCCCUUGCCGACUCAUUCCAUCCUCCCCCCGGUGGGUCGUCCUCUUAUUCACUCUCGCGAGCAAAGAAGAAGAGAGACAGCAUUCAAGCCAGUCUAGGUUGGUUGGUGAGCCUAGUGAUAGGAGACUAUCUAGCUUGGUUCGGAGAGCACUUGUUGGGUUUCAGAUUCGUUUUUUGCUAA